RNAcentral lists this transfer RNA (72 nucleotides) under bacterium. RNAcentral's name for it is "tRNA-Ala". It matches the Rfam family "tRNA". From Rfam's summary of the family: Transfer RNA (tRNA) molecules are approximately 80 nucleotides in length. Their secondary structure includes four short double-helical elements and three loops (D, anti-codon, and T loops). Further hydrogen bonds mediate the characteristic L-shaped molecular structure. tRNAs have two regions of fundamental functional importance: the anti-codon, which is responsible for specific mRNA codon recognition, and the 3' end, to which the tRNAs corresponding amino acid is attached (by aminoacyl-tRNA synthetases). tRNAs cope with the degeneracy of the genetic code in two manners: having more than one tRNA (with a specific anti-codon) for a particular amino acid; and 'wobble' base-pairing, i.e. permitting non-standard base-pairing at the 3rd anti-codon position. The record is from RNAcentral.
GGGCCCGUAGCUCAGCGGUAGAGCACUUCCAUGGCAUGGAAGGGGCCAGGGGUUCGAAUCCCCUCGGGUCCA